GAUGAACGCUGGCGGCGUGCCUAAUACAUGCAAGUCGAGCGAACAGACGAGGAGCUUGCUCCUCUGACGUUAGCGGCGGACGGGUGAGUAACACGUGGAUAACCUACCUAUAAGACUGGGAUAACUUCGGGAAACCGGAGCUAAUACCGGAUAAUAUAUUGAACCGCAUGGUUCAAUAGUGAAAGACGGUUUUGCUGUCACUUAUAGAUGGAUCCGCGCCGCAUUAGCUAGUUGGUAAGGUAACGGCUUACCAAGGCAACGAUGCGUAGCCGACCUGAGAGGGUGAUCGGCCACACUGGAACUGAGACACGGUCCAGACUCCUACGGGAGGCAGCAGUAGGGAAUCUUCCGCAAAGGGCGAAAGCUUGACGGAGCAACGCCGCGUGAGUGAUGAAGGUCUUCGGAUCGUAAAACUCUGUUAUUAGGGAAGAACAAAUGUGUAAGUAACAAUGCACGUCUUGACGGUACCUAAUCAGAAAGCCACGGCUAACUACGUG
RNAcentral lists this ribosomal RNA (497 nucleotides) under uncultured bacterium. RNAcentral describes it as "partial 16S ribosomal RNA". It matches the Rfam family "Bacterial small subunit ribosomal RNA", at positions 28 to 507 of the family's 1533-position model. The record is from RNAcentral.